GUACUUCCUCCAGCAUUUGCCGCGAGUUAUUGGCAAGUUCCCCUGCAGUUGUUUGGGCUGUCGCUGUGGCUGGUUCUGCGGUGUGCGGCCAGCCAUGGAGCGCUCUGGGCCCAGCGAAGUGACAGGCUCAGACGCAUCGGGACCGGACCCGCAGCUUGUGGUCACCAUGGGCUUCACGGGGUUCGGGGUUCGGUAAAAAAGCUCACACAUUUGACUUGGAAGCAAUGUUUGAACAAACUCAAAGAACAGCUGUGGAAAGAAGUCACAAAACACUGGACCAGAUUACAGAGGGGUAUUGAUUUGCCUUGCCCCCGCCCCCACCAUCACAGUGUGUCCCUGUCCAGUGUUGGUGCUGUGUGGCAUUGCUUGUGUCCAUAGGAGUCCAUCAAGGCAGAGCGGCAGAGCGGCAAGCAGAGCGGCAAGGCAGGUCAGCUUCCGGCUCUUCCAGGCUGCAUGUCCCCCUCAAUAUCCUUUCAACCCAAUGGAAAUGGAUUGAAAGAGUGAAAGUCACUGGUCUCAAAGAAUCUACGGAAUUUAGCAUUUUGAAAAUCACAGAGCAAUUUUGGGUAGGUAUUCACAUGCACUAAAAAACCAGGCAAACAUCUGACUCCCAGGAUAAAGUGACUGAGAGCAGUAGAAGACUUGUUGAGCCUUAAGGAAUAAGAGGAAAAUUAUGUUAUGAAGUGCAGGAACAGCACAGACCCAGACGAGGGGAUGCAGCCCGGAGCCAGUAACCCGGCGCCUCCUCCUCCCCAGGGCGCAGCGCUGGCUGCUCCCCGGAUACCGUGAUCACACGUCCCAGGUCCUGAGAGCGCCUCAUAGGUAGACAGUUCUUUGGGACUUUUGGGACGCAGCACUUGAAGAGAGGUUUACCUAAACUUUCCUCCUGGGAGCCUGUCAUCAUUUGAAAGUAACAGAAGAAAGCUGUCAGGCUGAGGAAAGUUUCAACAGGCACUUGGUGAGAAUGGGAAGCAUCCAUUCAUUGGGAAAUCACGGGGACAGAGGAGGAAUUCACGGGAUCAGAGCACUGAGAAACUCCAGAGGCUUCUGGUUCACCGCCCUGAUUCCACAGAUGUGGGUCAGAGGCAGAGAUGGAAGUUGGAAUGGACAAGCCUGCCCUCUCCUCAGCUCUCCAUGGCUCUGUCCUCAGGCUGUUUCUGCAAUUUGACAUGAGGCCUGGCCCCAGGGAAACCAGUGGGGCCUCAUCUCCUCCCUGUGCUGCUCUGAGGUGGAGCCUUCUCAGGGUCAGUCCAGCUCUGGAGCCCCUCUCCAGCUCGGUCACCAAAGCUGUCUGGUCCCAGGGCAGUGUGGAGUGACAGGCACGCCAGCCAAUCCAAUCGGCCAUUUCAUACCCAAUGCAUGUGACUGAUAAAGAGAUAACACCCUGUCUCCAAGACACAGGCUUUACAUAAACAGCUUUAAUGACUUCUUCACUUAGGGACAAGACUCCUUAGUGGUGGAACCUCAGGCAUCCAUGCAGGAUGUAAGAAAGCUCCCGUAUAUACAUGAACUGAGAAGUGUGUAGAAGAGUAAAUACUGUAAUAG
Molecule: long non-coding RNA, 1545 nt
Filed under: Homo sapiens (human)
Lineage: Eukaryota; Metazoa; Chordata; Mammalia; Primates; Hominidae
Description: non-protein coding lnc-RAB23-53:10
Source: RNAcentral